Molecule: ribosomal RNA, 305 nt
Filed under: uncultured bacterium
Lineage: Bacteria
Description: bacterial SSU rRNA
Rfam family: Bacterial small subunit ribosomal RNA
Source: RNAcentral
GCCUGCCUACGGGGCGCAGCAGUGAGGAAUAUUGGUCAAUGGUCGGGAGACUGAACCAGCCAAGCCGCGUGAGGGAGGAAGGUACAGAGUAUCGUAAACCUCUUUUGUCAGGGAACAAAGACUGGGACGCGUCCCCGGAUGAGUGUACCUGAAGAAAAAGCAUCGGCUAACUCCGUGCCAGCAGCCGCGGUAAUACGGAGGAUGCGAGCAUUAUCCGGAUUUAUUGGGUUUAAAGGGUGCGCAGGCGGUCUGUUAAGUCAGCGGUCAAAGCCCGGGGCUCAACCCCGGCCCGCCGUUGAAACUGG